Long non-coding RNA from Carassius gibelio (silver crucian carp), 1310 nucleotides. RefSeq lists it as uncharacterized. The record is from RefSeq and is a predicted model, not a curated record. Lineage: Eukaryota; Metazoa; Chordata; Actinopteri; Cypriniformes; Cyprinidae. The transcript has 6 exons.
AACAAAAUAACUGGCAGAUAAUACUAUAUAGAACUGGUUAUACUAUACUAUUUAGUGUGUUAUCACAGUGUUAUCUGCCAAUAAAUAGCUUUUUUUAUUAUUCAGCAAAAAAACAAAACAGCUAUGAAAACCAAAACUAUUCGAGUAAAUCACGUUAAACGUAACAAUAUAAAACGUUUUUUUUUUCCCGUGUUUAUAUUGUGAAUAUUGUGUUCAACUUCAAAGUUGUUGUUAUUUUCCAAUCUCAGCGGCAGAAAUUGUAUUGAUUUUAUUGAUAUCGGCUUUAGUUGGAUCUCUUUUGAAAUAUAGCGGCACUUGUUUAAGAAUCACGAUAGCAAAAUGGCGUUUGGCAGUAGGUCCAAGAAUGAUUUUCGUCGUAAAUGGGACAAAGAUGAAUAUGAAAAGCUGGCCCAGAAACGACUCAGAAGAGAGACAGUAAAAAGAUGAGCUUCUCCGCCACAGAGAUUAUAAAGUGGAUCUGGAAUCAAAACUGGGAAAGACAGUCGUCAUCACAAAGACCACACCACAGGCUGAGAUGGGAGGGUGGGUGGGUGUCUGCUAGACAAUGACCGUUCUAGCACUAUGAGCAAGUACUACUGCAAUGUCUGUGAUUUGUGUAGUAAACGAUUCCAUAAAUGUCAGAUCAGAGAAACCUGGGAAUGUCCAUGUUAAUGAGGAGAAAGCAAAAGCCUACAGAAAAGAAAGGCAGAAGAAGAUCUCAACUUUGAAGAUGAUGAUGAAAUGGCUGCUGUGAUGGGAUUCUCAGGUUUUGGAUCCUCCAGAAAAAGGCCACUGAUCACUCAUUUUAAACGUUUGCUCACCAAGGCCUUCUCUGAAUAGGUUUCCCUGAACUUUAUAAAAAUUUGCAAGAACUUCAUUAUUGUUUCACAGGACCAUACAGAUUUUUAUCCCAUAUUCUGUUAAAUCCUUCUGAUUCACCAAGUGGAGGGUAACCUGUUUUUGGCCCUUGAUCAAAGAGCAUCAGCAUAAUCUAAAUCGAACUCCAUGUUAUGAAGUUUCUGUUAUAAGUUCGUCAUGUAAAUAGGGCUGCAUAUGCCUAAAUGUUUUAUGAGUUGUGUCUGAAGUUACCCUCUUAUACCUUCCACACAAUGAAACAGUAAAGGUUCAAAUUAAAACAAUAUGACCUCUGUUAAAGAUAAGACUUGAUGCUUCUAUUCCCUAACGAUUCUGUAGAUAUGGGUCAGACAAGGGAAUGAUAAACCUGUUAAUUGUGUAAUUAUAGAGGGCAUUUUUUAUUAUAAGGUAGAUUGUAAUUUAUGGAUAUUUUACAUUAAAAAAAUUAUCUAACA